GGGGAUAUAGCUCAGUGGUACAGCAGGUGCCUGGCAAGUACAAAGUCCCAAGUUCAAUAUUUGGUACCA
This 69-nucleotide transfer RNA is filed under the name Cavia porcellus (domestic guinea pig). It matches the Rfam family "tRNA". From Rfam's summary of the family: Transfer RNA (tRNA) molecules are approximately 80 nucleotides in length. Their secondary structure includes four short double-helical elements and three loops (D, anti-codon, and T loops). Further hydrogen bonds mediate the characteristic L-shaped molecular structure. tRNAs have two regions of fundamental functional importance: the anti-codon, which is responsible for specific mRNA codon recognition, and the 3' end, to which the tRNAs corresponding amino acid is attached (by aminoacyl-tRNA synthetases). tRNAs cope with the degeneracy of the genetic code in two manners: having more than one tRNA (with a specific anti-codon) for a particular amino acid; and 'wobble' base-pairing, i.e. permitting non-standard base-pairing at the 3rd anti-codon position. Lineage: Eukaryota; Metazoa; Chordata; Mammalia; Rodentia; Caviidae. The record is from Rfam by way of RNAcentral.